This is a long non-coding RNA of Ornithodoros turicata, 918 nucleotides long. RefSeq lists it as uncharacterized. The record is from RefSeq and is a predicted model, not a curated record. The transcript has 7 exons. NCBI's taxonomy places the organism in Eukaryota, Metazoa, Arthropoda, Arachnida, Ixodida, Argasidae.
CACAGUUUGUGUUUCGUUUCAGCUCCUUACCGUCAGAUGGCGAGGCAGUCGAGCGCGGUGUUGCAGACGAUAUCGAACAUGUGGAACUGAAUGCAGACUCUCUCUCUCUCUGCGACGCCGCUUUCGACCGUGUCGCUAUCUGAGGAAAGUAGCUGAAACACAGGUUUUGGCGAAACUAAUACCACACUGCUUUACUCGGACUACCAGAACUGCGUUGUUGGACUUUUCCAUGGAGGAAGUGUUAGGGGGGGGGGGCAAUUACCUUUUGUUGACUGAACUGUCAACCAGCUGGAGCAGCAGCACGUUUAGGAUCGAUGGGCCUCUAUCAUCGUUCAACGCUAUCGCCUGUGAUACAACAGUACCACAACACGUGUAUCACCAGCGCUAUCCAGGCACAGGCAUAAACCCUAUCUCAGCGACACCUACACCGACUAUAAAGGCAGGCUGUGCGCCUUCUGAAGACAGUGGGCUUGGCAUCACAGACGGCGAAAUGCCUCACUUGUUUGCCUUGAUUUUACAGGCGCCGCAAGAAACUGGGGCUAUGAGCGCCGUUACUGACAUGGCAAGAGUGAGACAGGGGAGGAGAAAGAAUUCAGGGACAAGGGCACUAGUGUGCUUCCUGGGCCGACUUGAUGAGUGUCUACGAUCCUUUGCGCUGUCUUUGAGAGUGUAGGAGGCAAAGCAACAGCUGACCCCGAUGGCUGCGUUAGACACAAGAAUCCAACAUAUCACUGGAGUGUUGGCAAGAAAUACCUGUGGGAGUGCCCAUAUAGGUGCACAAAGAAACAAAAAGUUGAGGACAGGAGCGAACCGGAUGGAAGCCGAUACGCAGCAAGUACAAAGGAAGACAUGGUGGGCUUUGGCAGUAUGGAAGAGAUAUCUCUGGGGCCACUACAGGAGGUGGUGCGUCAGAUCUAC